RNAcentral lists this ribosomal RNA (253 nucleotides) under uncultured bacterium. RNAcentral describes it as "partial 16S ribosomal RNA". It matches the Rfam family "Bacterial small subunit ribosomal RNA", at positions 524 to 776 of the family's 1533-position model. The record is from RNAcentral.
UACGGAGGGGGCAAGCGUUGCUCGGAAUUACUGGGCGUAAAGGGUCCGCAGGUUGUUUUGUAAGUUAGAUGUGAAGGCUCAGGGCUUGACCCGGGAAUGGCAUGUAAAACUGCAAAACUUGAGUCUAGGAGAGGUUGGCGGAAUACCCGGUGUAGCGGUGAAAUGCGUAGAUAUCGGGAGGAACACCAGCGGCGAAGGCGCCUAACUGGCCUAGUUCUGACACUCAUGGACGAAAGCGUGGGGAGCGAACCGG